Molecule: long non-coding RNA, 1650 nt
Organism: Heterocephalus glaber (naked mole-rat)
Lineage: Eukaryota; Metazoa; Chordata; Mammalia; Rodentia; Bathyergidae
Source: Ensembl
GGGCAGUCUCUGAAAUCAUUUACUCCAGUGUACAAGUCAGCUCUCAGCGGUGAGAACACCAAGAAGAGAGACACGAUUAGUUCCGCAGUGGAAAAGAGAAUUUUUUAAAAAUCCUAAUUCUUCAAAUGUAGAAAUGGAACUAUUAAAUAUCCUGUAUUUAUCAGGGGGUAUUUUUGCAAUCAACUCAAACUAGAAUCAGGGAAAAUCAAAAGGAGAGGACUGUGUAUAUGCACAUGUUGGGGAUAGAGGUGAAAGUCCCUGAGAGACAGUUCUCCGGUUACGGGCUUUUCCUUUGUCCCUUAAAUCGGACAGACACUGUCCUAAACAAUGCCGCCAGGCCUGGAGCAGCGUGAAUUGCUGCCAGGGAGAUUAAAAAUAACCACCAAGGGCUGGCCCAGGAUGAUCUCGCUCAGGUCCUGGCCUCUCCUGCUCAGGUCCUGGCCUCUCCCAGGAGGCUGUGCGGCCGGCAGGAUGGAUCUUUAGCAUCUCCUACUCCUGGGCUGGCCUGUUCCUUGCCCUGGGUCCUCCCAAUGUGUUGAAUGCCUCAGCUGUCCAGAGGAGCACCACACCCAGGCCUGCCCUCCUCGGAAUGUGGCUGUGACCCGAGAGCAAUGUUUCUGCCCAUCUUUCUGUUUACUUCUCCUAAGCCUCGGUGACCUUAGCAGGAGGCUGAGGUGGGAGAACCACUUGAGCUCGUGAGUUUGACUGCAGCCUGGAGAACACGGUAAGCCUCCAUCUCAGAAAAAGAAAAAACAGGUAAAGUUAAGAUGCCCUUCCUGUCAGCUAAUCAACUAAGAGGAAAGGAAUGCUAUAAAUGAGUUCAUGCUGUCAUGUAACUAACACUUUAUUCCUCCCAUGUGGCCUGGUGUUCUAAUAUUUCAUUAAGCUAAAGGAAUAUGCUCCUUAGGAGGAAAGCUCAAAGUAAGAAAAUCUGGGGAGUUCUGGGUUUUCUCCAACCACCUGUGCCAGUCUGUUUUCCAGGAUAACAAAUGCCUGAGGCAGGUGACUAUAAGAAGAGGCCUACUCUGAGCAUCGUGGUGGACACCUGUAAUCUCAGCACCCUGGGAGGUUGAGGCAGGAGAAUUGCAAAUUUGAGACCAAUGUGGGCAACUUAGUGACUUGUACUGGAGAUUGAACCUACCCAGCGCUAGGCAGGCUCUGUGCCACUGAGCUACAUCCCUGACCCCUGCAACACACCCAUAUUUUAAAAAAUGGGCACAGGACUUGAACAGACAUUACUCCAAGUGGCAGGCGAAAACAGUAAGAGGUGGUUUGAUUCUUCCAUUUUGACUCUAGACCACAAACAAUAAAGACUUCCAAGUCUCCUUGGAUCCGUGUAACAGAAAAUUGUUCGAUGUGGUGGGCAGAAGGCCCGGAAGCUGUGGCUGGCCUGGGAGAGUGACUGGCCCGAGCUUCCCCUCCCGACCACCCUGCAGAAGAGAAGUCACCGUCCCUGCAUGGCAGAGCUGUGUUACUACCAAACACAAGUGCGAGGAAGGCUUUUUCUCUGCCAGGGUAACUGCACGGAGCCUUCACUUCUCCCUGCCGUGGACAGCCAGCCGGCCAGGCUCCUCGGAGCUCUCAGUUCGGCCUUGACCUUGGCCCCUGUCCUCGCUAACCGGGUGUGACCCAAGUUUUAGCAAGAAUCUG